This 315-nucleotide ribosomal RNA is filed under the name Kengyilia alatavica. Lineage: Eukaryota; Viridiplantae; Streptophyta; Magnoliopsida; Poales; Poaceae. The record is from RNAcentral.
GGAUCCCAUCAGAACUCCGAAGUUAAGCGUGCUUGGGCGAGAGUAGUACUAGGAUGGGUGACCUCCUGGGAAGUCCUCGUGUUGCAUUCCCUUUUUUUAAUUUUUUUGCGACUCGUGACAGACAUGACGAACGUGCGCGAUAUAUAUGAGCUGUGCGGGAGCGUAAGUAGUAUAGGGCAAUAGCCAUCGUAAGGGAACGAUCGUAAUGGUAGUAAGAAUGUGCAAUCGUCUUUGUUGUGGACCUGGGAGUGGAAAGCAUAAGGGACGAAGACGGGGGUAACAUGUCGGAUGCGAUCAUACCAGCACUAAAGCACC